Molecule: ribosomal RNA, 439 nt
Filed under: uncultured bacterium
Lineage: Bacteria
Description: bacterial SSU rRNA
Rfam family: Bacterial small subunit ribosomal RNA
Source: RNAcentral
AACGCGAAGAACCUUACCCGGGCUUGACAUCCCACGCCAUCCUACGAAAGUAGGCUUUCCCGCAAGGGAACGUGGAGACAGGUGCUGCAUGGCUGUCGUCAGCUCGUGCCGUGAGGUGUUGGGUUAAGUCCCGCAACGAGCGCAACCCUCGCCGUGUGUUGGUCCGCAAGGAUCUCUCACGCGGGACCGCCGAUGAGAAGUCGGAGGAAGGUGGGGAUGACGUCAAGUCAGCAUGGCCCUUACGUCCGGGGCUACACACGUGCUACAAUGGGUAGGACAACGGGUUGCUAGCUAGCGAUAGUAUGCUAAUCCCUUAAACCUGCCCUCAGUUCGGAUUGGAGGCUGCAACUCGCCUCCAUGAAGUCGGAAUCGCUAGUAAACGCAGAUCAGCUACGCUGCGUUGAAUACGUUCCCGGGCCUUGUACACACCGCACUACUA